CAUUCACGGAGAGUUUGAUCCUGGCUCAGGACGAACGCUGGCGGCGUGCUUAACACAUGCAAGUCGAGCGAGGCCCUUCCUUCGGGAAGG
Molecule: ribosomal RNA, 90 nt
Filed under: Pseudonocardiales bacterium
Lineage: Bacteria; Bacillati; Actinomycetota; Actinomycetes; Pseudonocardiales
Description: partial 16S ribosomal RNA
Rfam family: Bacterial small subunit ribosomal RNA
Source: RNAcentral